RNAcentral lists this long non-coding RNA (1514 nucleotides) under Macaca fascicularis (crab-eating macaque). RNAcentral describes it as "lncRNA (ENSMFAG00000056057.1)". The record is from RNAcentral. Lineage: Eukaryota; Metazoa; Chordata; Mammalia; Primates; Cercopithecidae.
GGGCGUCGGGAACUGUGACACCUUUAACGGUGGCACCUCACCCUGCUCCGGGGCCACGUCCUGGGGACUCCGACAGCUCCAAAUAAGCCCUCAGGGACUGGGGUUGUGAAAAGCGAGAUCGUGAAGACGCUGGCCUUAUACCGAAGGGUGGGACGGUGAGGUCAGCCCCGUCCCACUCCUACUAAAAUCGACCUGACAGGUAUUAAUAUGCCACCAUAAAGUUAACAAAAGUUGGUGAUUAAGUAUGCUGGGUUUUACGGAAACAGAUUUUCCAAAAUAAAUGUAGAUGUUGUAGGACCUCGCGAGCCAUUUGAGGCAGCAUUCCCCAAGGACGGCACUUUGAAGGUUUAGCGGCCAGAAAGAUUCUGAAGCUGAGUUCUGUCCUGCCGUCACAACCUUCGCUCCUAUGGCUUCACAGAAGCGUCUCCCAUGACUACCAAAUUUAACUCCUUCCAGAUCACCCAUGGGAGCACCUGACCAGAUUUAUUUAAUCAAUGUUAAGAACUAGGUUUUGUGCUCAGCUACGGUAUAGAGCAGCGAAUGAGACAAAACUGCAAGGCCCUGGGGGAAUGAUUAGGAAUAGCCAGUGAAAGGGAAAUUAAUGAAGUGUGUAAGUAUAUUAAUCAAGAAGUAUAUCCUUUCCCUUGAGGUAGAAUGUAAUAUAUCACCCUCCGCCCCCCCGAAGCCUGGGUUAAGAGAGAACAUUAACUGCUUAUUUCUCCUCUAUGCAUGGAGAGUCUUAUCUGUGUUCCAUCGUUUCACAUUCCUUGAGGCACAGCGAGUUCUUGCUUCCCUCCCUAGCGCUGCUGUAAAGUCACAAAACUGGUAAGUGUUACAAAAGCAGGUAUUCCCAAGGAUGUAAGGUGUAACAAAUGUAAAACAGUAACUGCCUUUGUUCUUGCUUCUGCAAGUACGCUUCCUGCAGCACGUAACUCCCGCCACAAACUGCUUAAAAGGUGAUUGAUCCCUUUAUUCCGGGCUCAGACUUUCUGGACCCUAGUCCGACUGAGCCGGUGAUCACCUUAAUAAUAAAGGCUCUCCUGAACUCUGCUCGGUCUCUCCCGUCUAUGAUUUAUCCCGCAACACUAGUUGCCUGCGGAACACCUCUACCUAGAGAGCUAACACUUAUCUCCGGUCAGUAAAUGCAAAACUAAACCCGUUGUCUCCUCCUACCAACUUGUCCCUCCUAUAAUGCCUGUGAUUAAAAGGCAUCACUAUGGCUGGGCGCGGUGGCUCACGCCUGUAAUCCCAGCACUUUGGGAGGCCGAGGCGGGCGGAUCACGAGGUCAGGAGAUCGAGACUAUGGUGAAAUCCCGUCUCUACUAAAAAUACAAAAAAAAUUAGCCGGGCGCGGUGGCGGGCGCCUGUAGUAGUCCCAGCUACUCAGGAGGCUGAGGCAGGAGAAUGGCGUGAACCCGGAGGCGGAGCUUGCAGUGAGCCGAGAUUGCGCCACUGCACUCCAGCCUGGGCGACAGAGCAAGACUCCGUCGAAAAAAAAAAAAAGAAAAAAAAAA